Molecule: ribosomal RNA, 1450 nt
Filed under: uncultured organism
Description: SSU rRNA
Rfam family: Bacterial small subunit ribosomal RNA
Source: RNAcentral
GCUACAGGCUUAACACAUGCAAGUCGAGGGGCAUCAGGAAGAAAGCUUGCUUUCUUUGCUGGCGACCGGCGCACGGGUGAGUAACACGUAUCCAACCUGCCCUUUACUCGGGGAUAGCCUUUCGAAAGAAAGAUUAAUACCCGAUGGCAUAAUGAUUCCGCAUGGUUUCAUUAUUAAAGGAUUCCGGUAAAGGAUGGGGAUGCGUUCCAUUAGGUUGUUGGUGAGGUAACGGCUCACCAAGCCUUCGAUGGAUAGGGGUUCUGAGAGGAAGGUCCCCCACAUUGGAACUGAGACACGGUCCAAACUCCUACGGGAGGCAGCAGUGAGGAAUAUUGGUCAAUGGGCGCUAGCCUGAACCAGCCAAGUAGCGUGAAGGAUGAAGGCUCUAUGGGUCGUAAACUUCUUUUAUAUAAGAAUAAAGUGCAGUAUGUAUACUGUUUUGUAUGUAUUAUAUGAAUAAGGAUCGGCUAACUCCGUGCCAGCAGCCGCGGUAAUACGGAGGAUCCGAGCGUUAUCCGGAUUUAUUGGGUUUAAAGGGAGCGUAGGUGGACUGGUAAGUCAGUUGUGAAAGUUUGCGGCUCAACCGUAAAAUUGCAGUUGAUACUGUCAGUCUUGAGUACAGUAGAGGUGGGCGGAAUUCGUGGUGUAGCGGUGAAAUGCUUAGAUAUCACGAAGAACUCCGAUUGCGAAGGCAGCUCACUGGACUGCAACUGACACUGAUGCUCGAAAGUGUGGGUAUCAAACAGGAUUAGAUACCCUGGUAGUCCACACAGUAAACGAUGAAUACUCGCUGUUUGCGAUAUACAGUAAGCGGCCAAGCGAAAGCAUUAAGUAUUCCACCUGGGGAGUACGCCGGCAACGGUGAAACUCAAAGGAAUUGACGGGGGCCCGCACAAGCGGAGGAACAUGUGGUUUAAUUCGAUGAUACGCGAGGAACCUUACCCGGGCUUAAAUUGCAGUGGAAUGAUGUGGAAACAUGUCAGUGAGCAAUCACCGCUGUGAAGGUGCUGCAUGGUUGUCGUCAGCUCGUGCCGUGAGGUGUCGGCUUAAGUGCCAUAACGAGCGCAACCCUUAUCUUUAGUUACUAACAGGUUAUGCUGAGGACUCUAGAGAGACUGCCGUCGUAAGAUGUGAGGAAGGUGGGGAUGACGUCAAAUCAGCACGGCCCUUACGUCCGGGGCUACACACGUGUUACAAUGGGGGGUACAGAAGGCAGCUAGCGGGUGACCGUAUGCUAAUCCCAAAAGCCUCUCUCAGUUCGGAUCGAAGUCUGCAACCCGACUUCGUGAAGCUGGAUUCGCUAGUAAUCGCGCAUCAGCCACGGCGCGGUGAAUACGUUCCCGGGCCUUGUACACACCGCCCGUCAAGCCAUGGGAGCCGGGGGUACCUGAAGUACGUAACCGCAAGGAUCGUCCUAGGGUAAAACUGGUGACUGGGGCUAAGUCAUAAC